AUCGCAGAUCAGGAAGCUGCGGUGGAUGCGUUCCCGGGUCUUGUACACACCGCCCGUCACACCACGGGAGUUGGAGAAGCCCGAAGCCGAUUAUCUAACCGUUUGGAAGAAGUCGUCGAAGGUGGAAUCAAUAACUGGGGUGAAGUCGUAACAAGGUAGCCGUAUCGGAAGGUGCGGCUGGAUCACCUCCUUUCUAAGGAGA
RNAcentral lists this ribosomal RNA (202 nucleotides) under Clostridioides difficile. RNAcentral's name for it is "partial 16S ribosomal RNA". It matches the Rfam family "Bacterial small subunit ribosomal RNA", at positions 1341 to 1533 of the family's 1533-position model. Lineage: Bacteria; Bacillati; Bacillota; Clostridia; Peptostreptococcales; Peptostreptococcaceae. The record is from RNAcentral.